RNAcentral lists this ribosomal RNA (425 nucleotides) under bacterium. RNAcentral's name for it is "partial 16S ribosomal RNA". It matches the Rfam family "Bacterial small subunit ribosomal RNA", at positions 355 to 776 of the family's 1533-position model. The record is from RNAcentral.
UGGGGAAUAUUGCACAAUGGGCGCAAGCCUGAUGCAGCGACGCCGCGUGAGGGAUGGAGGCCUUCGGGUUGUAAACCUCUUUCGCCAGUGAAGCAGGCCAUCUUCUUUGGGGGGUGGUUGACGGUAGCUGGAUAAGAAGCGCCGGCGAACUACGUGCCAGCAGCCGCGGUAAUACGUAGGGUGCGAGCGUUGUCCGGAAUUAUUGGGCGUAAAGGGCUCGGUGGGAGCUGGUGGCGGCUGUGGUGAAAUCCCCUGGCUCAACUGGGGGCUUGCGGUGGGUACGGGCCGGCUUGAGUGCGGUAGGGGAGACUGGCAUUCCUGGUGUAGCGGUGGAAUGCGCAGAUAUCAGGAGGAACACCGGUGGCGAAGGCGGGUCUCUGGGCCGUUACUGACGCUGAGGGGCGAAAGCGUGGGGAGCGAACAGG